GCUGGCGGCGUGCCUAAUACAUGCAAGUCGAGCGAACGGACGAGAAGCUUGCUUCUCUGAUGUUAGCGGCGGACGGGUGAGUAACACGUGGAUAACCUACCUAUAAGACUGGGAUAACUUCGCGAAACCGGAGCUAAUACCGGAUAAUAUUAUGAACCGCAUGGUUCAAUAGUGAAAGACGGUCUUGCUGUCACUUAUAGAUGGAUCCGCGCUGCAUUAGCUAGUUGGUAAGGUAACGGCUUACCAAGGCAACGAUGCAUAGCCGACCUGAGAGGGUGAUCGGCCACACUGGAACUGAGACACGGUCCAGACUCCUACGGGAGGCAGCAGUAGAGAAUCUUCCGCAAUGGGCGAAAGCCUGACGGAGCAACGCCGCGUGAGUGAUGAAGGUCUUCGGAUCGUAAUACUCUGUUAUUAGAGAAGAACAUAUGUGUAAGUAACUGUGCACAUCUUGACGGUACCUAAUCAGAAAGCCACGGCUAACUACGUGCCAGCAGCCGCGGUAAUACGUAGGUGGCAAGCGUUAUCCGGAAUUAUUGGGCGUAAAGCGCGCGUAGGCGGUAUUAUAAGUCUGAUGUGAAAGCCCACGGCUCAACCGUGGAGGGUCAUUGGAAACUGGAAUACUUGAGUGCAGAAGAGGAAAGUGGAAUUCCAUGUGUAGCGGUGAAAUGCGCAGAGAUAUGGAGGAACACCAGUGGCGAAGGCGACUGUCUGGUCUGUAACUGACGCUGAUGUGCGAAAGCGUGGAGAUCAAACAGGAUUAGAUACCCUGGUAGUCCACGCCGUAAACGAUGAGUGCUAAGUGUUAGGAGGAUUCCGCCGCUUAGUGCUGCAGCUAACGCAUUAAGCACUCCGCCUGGGGAGUACGACCGCAAGGUUGAAACUCAAAGGAAUUGACGGGGACCCGCACAAGCGGUGGAGCAUGUGGUAUAAUUCGAAGCAACGCGAAGAACCUUACCAAAUCUUGACAUCCUAUGACAACUCUAGAGAUAGAGCCUUCCGCUUCGGCGGACAAAGUGACAGGUGGUGCAUGGUUGUCGUCAGCUCGUGUCGUGAGAUGUUGGGUUAAGUCACGCAACGAGCGCAACCCUUAAGCUUAGUUGCCAUCAUUAAGUUGCGCACUCUAAGUUGAC
Molecule: ribosomal RNA, 1133 nt
Filed under: Staphylococcus aureus
Lineage: Bacteria; Bacillati; Bacillota; Bacilli; Caryophanales; Staphylococcaceae
Description: bacterial SSU rRNA
Rfam family: Bacterial small subunit ribosomal RNA
Source: RNAcentral